This 497-nucleotide ribosomal RNA is filed under the name uncultured bacterium. Its description in RNAcentral is "partial 16S ribosomal RNA". It matches the Rfam family "Bacterial small subunit ribosomal RNA", at positions 28 to 507 of the family's 1533-position model. The record is from RNAcentral.
GACGAACGCUGGCGGCGUGCCUAAUACAUGCAAGUUGAGCGCUGAAGGUUGGUACUUGUACCAACUGGAUGAGCAGCGAACGGGUGAGUAACGCGUGGGGAAUCUGCCUUUGAGCGGGGGACAACAUUUGGAAACGAAUGCUAAUACCGCAUAAAAACUUUAAACACAAGUUUUAAGUUUGAAAGAUGCAAUUGCAUCACUCAAAGAUGAUCCCGCGUUGUAUUAGCUAGUUGGUGAGGUAAAGGCUCACCAAGGCGAUGAUACAUAGCCGUCCUGAGAGGGUGAUCGGCCCCAUUGGGACUGAGACACGGCCCAAACUCCUACGGGAGGCAGCAGGAGGGAAUCUUCGGCAAUGGACGAAAGUCUGACCGAGAAACGCCGCGUGAGUGAAGAAGGUUUUCGGAUCGUAAAACUCUGUUGGUAGAGAAGAACGUUGGUGAGAGUGGAAAGCUCAUCAAGUGACGGUAACUACCCAGAAAGGGACGGCUAACUACGUG